This 2417-nucleotide long non-coding RNA is filed under the name Sus scrofa (pig). RNAcentral describes it as "lncRNA (ENSSSCG00035054423.1)". Lineage: Eukaryota; Metazoa; Chordata; Mammalia; Artiodactyla; Suidae. The record is from RNAcentral.
AAAGGGGGCAUCUUACUAACAGAUGUUGAAAGUUUAUAUAGGCACAGAAUAUGUCAUGCAAGUGAGCUGUUUACAAGGAAUGUUGAAACAAGAAGCAUUAACAAAAAAUUUAAAACAUCAUAAAGAUGUUUGCAAAACCCCAGCAUGCUGUUGUAAAAAAACAAGUUGAAACCGGUUUAGAUACUUAGUGGUAAAUUCCCAGUUCUGAUGAACGAUGACCCUCCUGUCCACUAGAGGUCACUCUUUGGAAAUGACUUUGCCCCAGGCAGUUGGCAGCUUGCAAAAAAUAGCGUCAUUGUACCUGUCCCUUUUUGGUCCAGAGUUGCAAAGGCCCCAUAUUUCUUAUGAGGUGAGCUGAAUUUGUUCUGGCCAGUUGUACAGUGUCUAGGUUUCAUUUUGACUUUGUAAUUCAAAACCAACCAUGGGGAUUUCACGCUGUGGUGCAGUGGGUUAAACAUCUGAGAGCAGUGACUCAGAUCACUGCAGAGGCACCGGUUUGAUCCCUGGCCAGUACAGUGGGUUAAAGGAUCCAGCUGUGACAGCUGCAGCUUAGAUUCAACCCCUGGCCCAGGAACUUUCAUAUCCUGAAGGUACAGCCAUAAAAAAAUAACAACAACAAAAACUCCGCCAUGAAUUUUGACGGAGAGCAGUUUCACUUUGGCUCUGGCCUGUAACCCAAACAUCAGAUUGGGUUUUGUUGCUUCUGGAUUUCUUUCCCUUCCUUGAUGCUGGAUUCCCACUUAUAUAUGUCUUUGUUAAAUGUCUGUCUGUUCUCUCUCUCAUAGUGACAUUGGCAUUCUGGCAAAAGCAAAAAUAUCUGCUUCCUGCUUUUUGUUCUCAGGAAAGACUCCAGGAACAUAUUUAGGGGAAUACUUCUCAAGGAUGGAAUUUCCGUGCUUUAAAGAAUUUUUAGCAAGGAGGGUGGUAUGUAGUGAGGGGAAAAGUUCCUUCUCAUACCUCAGUUUGCCCGUUCAUUAUCUUUGGAGAUAAGGUAAUUUCCAUUUAAAGGUAUUUUAUCAGGAAGCUAGUGAAACUUAAACUUGUACAAGCCCUAACUCGUACAAGUCCUGUACUUGUCUUUGUUUUCUUAAAUUUAAAUUUUUUCUUAAAGAGAAAUUAUCAAGUUCUAAAAGCUCCUGACCCUAAAAUUGAGUCUAUACCUAGUUUUAAGACUUUGGAGUGAGGUGGGGAUUCAAGUUCUGGCCCAGUGAGACUGGGCAAGUUACUUAACCUCUCUGAGCUUCAAUUUUCUUGUCUGAUAGUGUUGGGUUUCUUGAAGAGUCCAAACACAAGUAUAAUUUGAUGCUCACAGUUCCCUGAACACAUUAGGGAACUUCAAGAUGGAAGGAACCUGAGGAGAAAAAGACAGAUCCAUACCUGGUUUGAACUGCUUGGGACCUUCUGUAGGAAGACAUCUAGGAACAAGACAGUUGGGGCUGCCUCAUGGCAUAUGGAUCCUAGGCCAGGGAUCAGAUCUGAGCGGCAGUUGCAACCUAUGCCACAGCUGCAGCAAUGCUGUAUCCAUUAAUCCAGUGUGCCUGGCUUGAACCUGUGGAUUGAACCUAUGUCGCAGCACUCCAGAAACACCAUCAAUCCCAUUGCACCACUGUGGGAAUUCCUAUUUUUAAAUUUUUGAGGCAUUUCCAGGCUGUAUUCCUCUAGGCUGGGUCAAUUUACACUCCUACCAACAAUGUGCAAGGGUUCCCUUGUCUCCUCAUCCUCCUGGACACUUUGUUAUUUCUUGUCUUUAAUGAUGGCUGUUCUGACAGGUGUGAGGUGAUAUCUGGUACUUUUGAUUUGCAUUCCCCUGAUGAUGAAUAAUAUUGAGCAUCUUUUCCUGUACCUUGUUGGACCCCAUUCUCAUCUCGUCCUGCAGUCAUAAAAGUGUGAAAGCCCUUGGAAGUCAGUUUAGAAUAAAUUGUUGUGGAGUCCCUGGGGCCUGGCAGUUAAAGGGCCCAUUAAAGCCAUGACUAUGGCAAUAAUAAUAAUAAUAAUGAAUAAAAUAAAAUAAAUUGUCGCAGAUGCCCAGAGUAAUCACCUGAGGGCAGUGCAGCAUGAGGAUUAUUCAGCCAGCAUCGCAGACUCAUCAGAUCCUCAGGGGAUACCUUCUAGGACCCCACUGGAUGCCUGAAGCCACAGAUAGUUGCACCUGUGGCAUAUGGAAGUUCCUGGGCUAGGGGUUCAAUCAGAGCUGCAGCUGCCAGCCUAUACCACAGCUACAGCAACACCGGAUCUGAUCUGUAGCUCCAACCUAUGACACAGCCUGUGCCAACACCAGAUCCUUCACCCACUGAGCGAGGCCAAGGAUGGAACUCAUCCUCACGGAGACUAGUCAGAUUCUUAACCCACUGAGCCACAGGAACUCCCCCCAAUAAAGUUUAUAAGUUAGGCACAGUAAGAGAAUAACGACAAUAAUU